AAAGGUCACUGAUUUGAAUCAAAAUUGUUCCAUACAUAUGCUGGGCUUGAGUUGACGUUUGGGUGAGGCUAGCAUUGUUUUUAGCUUUCCGUGCUUGAACAAUUGGAACGUCCUGAGAUUAGGUCCUGAGAUAUCUUCACCAUUAGAAGCUAAGCUAAGCCUUGGCCCUCAAACCGAUUACCAUGCGUGGGCCACUGACUGGCGCCAGUACUGGUCUAACUGCCGACAAGCAAAGACCCUACGUCUUGGGCCAGCCUUGUCCUCGCUAAGAGCAGUCAUCUUUUGAGAUUUGACCGAGAAUUGGAGUACUGUAAUCUGACUGAGGAUAA
This 329-nucleotide long non-coding RNA is filed under the name Coccomyxa subellipsoidea. RNAcentral's name for it is "long non-coding RNA (CSUB_LNC000784)". The record is from RNAcentral. Lineage: Eukaryota; Viridiplantae; Chlorophyta; Trebouxiophyceae; Coccomyxaceae.